Molecule: ribosomal RNA, 709 nt
Filed under: Sarcogyne oceanica
Lineage: Eukaryota; Fungi; Ascomycota; Lecanoromycetes; Acarosporales; Acarosporaceae
Description: partial large subunit ribosomal RNA
Rfam family: Eukaryotic large subunit ribosomal RNA
Source: RNAcentral
AAAGAGAGUCAAACAGUACGUGAAAUUGUUGAAAGGGAAGCGCUUGCAACCAGACUUGCCUGCAGGUGAUCAACCGGUAUUCUUACCGGUGCACUCGCCUGUGGUCAGGCCAGCAUCGGUUUGGGCGGCUGGAUAAAGUUCACCGGAACGUAGCUCCUCUCGGGGAGUGUUAUAGCCGGAGGUGCAAUGCAGCCCGCCCGGACCGAGGACCGCGCUUCGGCUAGGAUGCUGGCGUAAUGGUUGUAAGCGACCCGUCUUGAAACACGGACCAAGGAGUCUAACAUCUAUGCGAGUGUUUGGGUGUCAAACCCAUGCGCGUAAUGAAAGUGAACGGAGGUGGGAACCCUCAAGGGUGCACCAUCGACCGAUCCUGAUGUCUUCGGAUGGAUUUGAGUAAGAGCAUAGCUGUUGGGACCCGAAAGAUGGUGAACUAUGCCUGAAUAGGGUGAAGCCAGAGGAAACUCUGGUGGAGGCUCGCAGCGGUUCUGACGUGCAAAUCGAUCGUCAAAUUUGGGUAUAGGGGCGAAAGACUAAUCGAACCAUCUGUUACUGGAUGGCACACGGGCAGUACAACGCCCGAGUAGUCCCUACUGUGAGGGCGACAUCGCCGGUCUUUCAGGGACGCCUUCGGGCUACCUGCAGUGAGCUUGAGGCUCAUUCACAGACUAAGUGGCGGUGGCCGCGCCCGCGGCGUGGUUAGGAUAUAGCC